AACGAACGCUGGCGGCAUGCCUAACACAUGCAAGUCGAACGAAGUCUUCGGACUUAGUGGCGCACGGGUGCGUAACGCGUGGGAAUCUGCCCUUGGGUUCGGAAUAACAGUGAGAAAUUACUGCUAAUACCGGAUGAUGACUUCGGUCCAAAGAUUUAUCGCCCAAGGAUGAGCCCGCGUAAGAUUAGCUAGUUGGUGAGGUAAAGGCUCACCAAGGCGACGAUCUUUAGCUGGUCUGAGAGGAUGAUCAGCCACACUGGGACUGAGACACGGCCCAGACUCCUACGGGAGGCAGCAGUGGGGAAUAUUGGACAAUGGGCGAAAGCCUGAUCCAGCAAUGCCGCGUGAGUGAUGAAGGCCUUAGGGUUGUAAAGCUCUUUUACCAGGGAUGAUAAUGACAGUACCUGGAGAAUAAGCUCCGGCUAACUCCGUGCCAGCAGCCGCGGUAAUGUGACUACUG
Molecule: ribosomal RNA, 460 nt
Filed under: uncultured bacterium
Lineage: Bacteria
Description: bacterial SSU rRNA
Rfam family: Bacterial small subunit ribosomal RNA
Source: RNAcentral